GACGAACGCUGGCGGCGUGCCUAAUACAUGCAAGUCGAGCGAAGUUUUUCUGGUGCUUGCACUAGAAAAACUUAGCGGCGAACGGGUGAGUAACACGUAAAGAACCUGCCUCAUAGACUGGGACAACUAUUGGAAACGAUAGCUAAUACCGGAUAACAGUAUUUCUCGCAUGAGAGAUAUUUAAAAGUUGGUUAUGCUAACACUAUGAGAUGGCUUUGCGGUGCAUUAGCUAGUUGGUGGGGUAAAGGCCCACCAAGGCGGCGAUGCAUAGCCGACCUGAGAGGGUGAUCGGCCACACUGGGACUGAGACACGGCCCAGACUCCUACGGGAGGCAGCAGUAGGGAAUCUUCCGCAAUGGGCGAAAGCCUGACGGAGCAACGCCGCGUGAGUGAAGAAGGAUUUCGGUUCGUAAAGCUCUGUUGUUAGGGAAGAAUGGAUAUGUAGUAACUAUACAUGUAAGAGACGGUACCUAACCAGAAAGCCACGGCUAACUACGUG
RNAcentral lists this ribosomal RNA (499 nucleotides) under uncultured bacterium. RNAcentral describes it as "partial 16S ribosomal RNA". It matches the Rfam family "Bacterial small subunit ribosomal RNA", at positions 28 to 507 of the family's 1533-position model. The record is from RNAcentral.